GUGCACCUCUAGUCAGUGAUACAUGGU
This 27-nucleotide ribosomal RNA is filed under the name Solanum lycopersicum (tomato). Its description in RNAcentral is "partial 28S ribosomal RNA". Lineage: Eukaryota; Viridiplantae; Streptophyta; Magnoliopsida; Solanales; Solanaceae. The record is from RNAcentral.